UUAGGUGUCUUGUGCAGAGAUAUUUUCAGUGACACAUUACAUCAUUAGUUUCAUCUUUCAACUUUCUUCCUUUAUUGCUUUUUACUUUGGUUGCUGAAAAUCUACUCUAUGUUUUUCCCAUUCAUCCCAGCUGUAAUGGUUAUUCUCUAUUUGUUCCCUCUUCUUCGCCACUCCUCCGGCGACGAAAACCAACUGCUCCGGCUACAACUCUGGCGAAGAAUCCCACAAUGGUCAACGCUCGCCGAAGUCCGUUCUACGGUGUGCUUCAACUUCAUUUGAUGAAUCUCAGAAUAACGAGGAAGGAUGGAUACAAUGACUUCAACACGUUCUACAUGCAAAUGUACAUUAGAGGAGCUUUAGGAGUUUCCGAGGAUAUCACUAACAUUGAAGAUUUCUUUGAAGUUGUUGACUUGGGGUGAACAAAUUGUCAAGAAAGGUGCCUAAAGGCUGAAAUGAUGAGAAGGGUUACGAAUAAAAAAAAACUAUGGCGCAGUAAUUUCUAUGUUCUAUUAAUUAUUUUAGAAUUGUAUCUAUAUCUCAUGAUCCAUGAUAAAGAGAGAACACUAAGACUUAAUAUCUGACCCUACCAAGUAAAAAUUUUCACUUGAAAUAUUAUUUUAGAACUGGUAAGAAGAAAAAGUUAAUUUAGUAGUGACCAAAUCCUCCGAGUCCAGUAAAUGUGAAGCUUUAGCCAAAUUGUCCUCUCGUUUAUGUGUCCCCAAAAGAUAUUUGAUGUUAUUUUUCAGUUCUAGAGAUUUAUAUAAUGCACAAAGCGAAUGCUUUUGCUAUCUGAAAUAUAUGUAAAAUAUGAUCGAUUUCUUUA
Long non-coding RNA from Solanum lycopersicum (tomato), 823 nucleotides. RefSeq lists it as uncharacterized. The record is from RefSeq and is a predicted model, not a curated record. Lineage: Eukaryota; Viridiplantae; Streptophyta; Magnoliopsida; Solanales; Solanaceae.